CUGAAGCAGCAACGCCGCGUGCGGGAUGACGGCCUUCGGGUUGUAAACCGCUUUCAGCAGGGAAGAAGCCUAAAUCUGAGCGUGUACCGCGUGCACGUAAGAAGACACACGCGCCAGACUACGUGCCUGCAGCCGCGCGUGAUGACAGAUAGCGGUAGCGGAUGCGUAUGUGCCGGAAUGUGAAUUGUGAGCUGUGAGAAGAGACAUGCAGUCAUUCGGUUUGUCGCGUCCGAACGUGCAUAGAACAUACAUGUGGCUGUGAGACUCAGCUCCUGACUUGGAUAGGGGACGGGUAGACUAAAGUGGGGGAGAAUAGAAUGGAUGGCGGAGCGGAUGGAAUGAAAUGAUCUCAUAUCGAACACAAGUGGGAAAGGCAGUGCUCUGGACCUUUCCUGACCUGAAGGAGAGAAAGCGAGGGGAGCAAAGCGGAUUAGAUACCAUGCCCUGCCACGCCAUAAACGGAGGGUUCGAAAUGAUGGGGAGGGUUCCAUUCCCUCGGGGCCGUACCUAACCUAAUAAAUAACCCUCCCUGGGGAGGACAGUACGCGAGGCUAAGAUAAAAAGGAAUUGAAU
RNAcentral lists this ribosomal RNA (573 nucleotides) under uncultured bacterium. RNAcentral's name for it is "partial 16S ribosomal RNA". It matches the Rfam family "Bacterial small subunit ribosomal RNA", at positions 383 to 915 of the family's 1533-position model. The record is from RNAcentral.